UUGCAUUCAGGAGCCCUCCCACUGAAAAGAACCAAAAUUCAAUUUGAAUUUUUCAACGUAAUCAUGGUCUGAUUCAUAUAUUUAACUGAAUAUGAAUAGCUAAUUUAUUGGAUGGGGUUAUAAAUUAUUGAUGUAUAUGUGUACGUUUCUCAUUGCGUUCAGCGGUCAGUGGCCAGACUCAGAUAAUGACAUUAAAGCAACAACUUGUUGCCAAAAGGCUGUUGAAUAGAGGCCAGCAAAAUAUUUCAGUUUCAAAAUUGCCUUGUCUCCACAUGAAGAAGAGGAAUCAUUCAUCAUCAUUCAUCCAGACU
Molecule: unclassified non-coding RNA, 311 nt
Filed under: Hevea brasiliensis (rubber tree)
Lineage: Eukaryota; Viridiplantae; Streptophyta; Magnoliopsida; Malpighiales; Euphorbiaceae
Source: RNAcentral